RNAcentral lists this ribosomal RNA (505 nucleotides) under uncultured bacterium. RNAcentral's name for it is "partial 16S ribosomal RNA". It matches the Rfam family "Bacterial small subunit ribosomal RNA", at positions 899 to 1397 of the family's 1533-position model. The record is from RNAcentral.
ACUCAAAGGAAUAGACGGGGGCUCACACAAGCGGUGGAGGAUGUGGUUUAAUUCGAAGCAACGCGAAGAACCUUACCAGGUUUUGACAUUCCGGGAUUAAUCCGAUGAAAGUCGGAGGAUUGCUGUAAAAGGUGUAACCGGAACAGGUGCUGCAUGGCUGUCGUCAGCUCGUGCCGUGAGGUGUUAGGUUAAGUCCUUUAACGAGCGAAACCCCUACGGUUAGUUACCAGCGCGUAAUGGCGGGGACUCUAGCCGGACUGCCGCGAAAGUAGGAGGAAGGUGGGGACGACGUCAAGUCAUCAUGGCCUUUAUAAUCUGGGCUACACACGUCCUACAAUGGGUGGUACAAAGGGUAGCGAAACCGCAAGGUGGAGCCAAUCCUCAAAAGCCAUCCUCAGUUCAGAUUGUGGGCUGCAAUUCGCCCACAUGAAGCUGGAAUCGCUAGUAAUCGCGGAUCAGCUACGCCGCGGUGAAUAUGUUCCUGAGCCUUGCACACACCGCCCGU